GACGAACGCUGGCGGCGCGCCUAACACAUGCAAGUCGAACGAGCGAGAGAGAGCUUGCUUUCUCGAGCGAGUGGCGAACGGGUGAGUAACGCGUGAGGAACCUGCCUCAAAGAGGGGGACAACAGUUGGAAACGACUGCUAAUACCGCAUAAGCCCACGGCUCGGCAUCGAGCAGAGGGAAAAGGAGCAAUCCGCUUUGAGAUGGCCUCGCGUCCGAUUAGCUAGUUGGUGAGGUAAUGGCCCACCAAGGCGACGAUCGGUAGCCGGACUGAGAGGUUGAACGGCCACAUUGGGACUGAGACACGGCCCAGACUCCUACGGGAGGCAGCAGUGGGGAAUAUUGCACAAUGGGGGAAACCCUGAUGCAGCGACGCCGCGUGGAGGAAGAAGGUCUUCGGAUUGUAAACUCCUGUUGUUGGGGAAGAUAAUGACGGUACCCAACAAGGAAGUGACGGCUAACUACGUGCCAGCAGCCGCGGUAAAACGUAGGUCACAAGCGUUGUCCGGAAUUACUGGGUGUAAAGGGAGCGCAGGCGGGAAGACAAGUUGGAAGUGAAAUCUAUGGGCUCAACCCAUAAACUGCUUUCAAAACUGUUUUUCUUGAGUAGUGCAGAGGUAGGCGGAAUUCCCGGUGUAGCGGUGGAAUGCGUAGAUAUCGGGAGGAACACCAGUGGCGAAGGCGGCCUACUGGGCACCAACUGACGCUGAGGCUCGAAAGUGUGGGUAGCAAACAGGAUUAGAUACCCUGGUAGUCCACACCGUAAACGA
RNAcentral lists this ribosomal RNA (768 nucleotides) under uncultured bacterium. RNAcentral describes it as "bacterial SSU rRNA". It matches the Rfam family "Bacterial small subunit ribosomal RNA", at positions 28 to 809 of the family's 1533-position model. The record is from RNAcentral.